RNAcentral lists this transfer RNA (74 nucleotides) under Borrelia crocidurae DOU. Its description in RNAcentral is "tRNA-Arg". It matches the Rfam family "tRNA". Rfam says of the family: Transfer RNA (tRNA) molecules are approximately 80 nucleotides in length. Their secondary structure includes four short double-helical elements and three loops (D, anti-codon, and T loops). The record is from RNAcentral. Lineage: Bacteria; Pseudomonadati; Spirochaetota; Spirochaetia; Spirochaetales; Borreliaceae.
GUGCCCAUAGCUCAGCUGGAUAGAGCAUCAGAUUGCGGUUCUGAAGGUCAGAGGUUCAAGUCCUCUUGGGCACG